CAAGAGAGAGAAACAAUGAGGAACAUUUAAUUUGACCCAACAUCGUUUAGGAGCAUAAAUGUUGACACUAAGUUCUCCGUUUUGUGCUAAAAUGGACAGUAUUAGCAAAAUGACUAUGCGCAUAACAAUGAUACCACAGCUUCUUAUCCUCUGGCUCUAUAUUGCUUUGGAAACACUUAAACAUCAAAUGGAGUUAAAUACAUAUUUGAAAUUUAGGUUAGGAAAUAUUGGUGAGGAGGCCUCAAAAAGGGGGAAACAUCUUUUGUCUGGGAGGAUAUUUUCCAUUUUGUGAAUUUCCCUGAUCUUUCUCUACCAACCUGAGUGGUAGUGGGGAUUAUCGUUUUGCUACAUUUUAGAGGUCAUCCAGGAUUUUUGAAACUUUACAUACUUUACAGUUAAGCAAGCUGCACAGCUCAGUCAAAGACAGUGCUAAGGAGUAUAGCAGAUGAACUAUAAGUGUGUUGGGAGGUAGAAUAUCAUCCUAAAAUGAGAGUGAUGUUGUGGAGACAGUUGAAAUGUCAGUGCUAGAGCCUUUGUGGUGUGCAUGGGUAGGUUAGGUUGUUGCAUUAGAAAGUGACUCUUUCCAAUAGGAAUUUGUAGCUUUGUGCAAAUUCACCCACUAUCUACCUCAAUAAAAUAUUGAGAAAAGAAAAAUAGAGCAGUUUGAGUUCUGUGAGAUAUGCAGGCCCAGAGAGACAUAAGUAUGGUCCUUUAGUCUUGCUUCCUGUGUGCAAUAGUGCCCCUCCAAACCAUAGCUGGGGGCAAUUGUUUAAUGCCAUUUUGUUCCUGACUAGCUGCCUUGCCCAUUAUCUUCAUGUUCUUGGAAUUUGAUUCAGAGAGCAAUUUAUAGCCAAUUGAUAGCUUAUGCUGUUUUAAUAUAAAUUCAUGGUAAAUAACUUAGGAACUGCCUCUUCUUUUUCUUUGAAAACCUACUUGUAACUGUUGCUAAUAAGAAUGCAUAUUGUUCAGGGCAACUUGACUCCAUGCAGUUGGGUUGUAACUCUCAUGCUUGGCCCAAGUAACCUCUCUACUUAUAUCAGUUUUUCCUGCACUUCUUCCUUUUAGGUCAAGAAUAUCAAGAGGAGUUACUGUGCUGGGUAAUGUGUAAACCUGUACUUUGUUUAGAAAGAUAAAUUUGAAGACUAUCACAUUGCUUUCUCAUAAAACAAGACAGGUCCACAAUUAAUUUAUUUUGACACAAAUUGAUAGGGGGAGCUGAGUAAGCCCCGUAUGCUUAAUGAUCAGCUGAUGAAUAAUUAUCUUUUAGCAACAUAACUCAAUCUAACGCUAAGGUACCCACAAGAUGGCAAGGCUGAUCAAAGUCUUCAGGGGGUCCUGCAACCAAAAGCCAUGGAAAUUUGGAAGUCCUCAAAUCCCAUUCUUAAUCUGAUGAGUUUAUGGACCAAUUUGUGGAGGACAGUAGACUAAAUAGAUCUAAUUUUUGCCAUCAAUGUAAGGAAGAUAAAAACCUGCAUACCAGUUGUAAACCCUCGUAAAAUCUUUCUCUGAUGUUGGAGAAAAUGCAGGCCACUUGGGCCAGUGAGAUCAUAGAUGUGGAAAUACAGUCAAUAUUCAGUUGCACCCUCCUGCAAUCCCACUUCCUUCCUCAACACAAUUCAAGCAAAUAGACUCAAACUGUUUCAGGCUCCAAGACAGGAAGUGCAGUGUAAGCAAAAUUGCAAAAAUUGAGGAUAUAGGGUUGAGAUGGGGAGGUCAAGUAACAAGCUGUGCUAAACAAUUAUGUGUAAAUAUAUUUUUUCGGUUUUAAAAAUUGAUUUCUUUUGCACAUUCCAUGACAAUACCUGACAGAUUUUUUAAAUAAAUGCAAAGAAACAUA
Non-coding RNA from Chlorocebus sabaeus (green monkey), 1837 nucleotides. Lineage: Eukaryota; Metazoa; Chordata; Mammalia; Primates; Cercopithecidae. The record is from RefSeq and is a predicted model, not a curated record.